AACAAUCUAGAAACCACUUCUGCACCUCCGGAACAGUGUCAGUCGGAUUUCUAGGCGCAUGAACACCGGCGGCGCGUGGAUCCACGCGCCACCACCAAAAAAAUCCAGCAGCAGGGGGUUCUGGAUCGCUUUCUUCCCCUCUUCAAUCUCCUGCUGCCCGUGAGAAAACUCACCACCUGCAAAUCCAAGAAACUCAAAUGAUAGUUGAUUUUAAUUAAAAAAUUUUAGAUCUGCUUCUCUUCUUCUUCAAAUCUGCUUCGGAUUUUGCUUCUUCUUGUCCGAUCUGUUCUUGCUUCUUCUUUUCUGUUUCAGGCGACGGUGGAGUGGUGGGUGUCGCCGCUGCAAGGCUGAUCGGACGAAGAUGAAGAAGACAUCGGGGUUGCUGCUGGAGGCCGAUCUGCGCCGAUGAAGGAAGCUUUGCUGCGGGCUGGAAGGAGACUUUGCUGCUGUUGUCGUCUGCUCAGCUGACUUCGUUGUGGGAAGAGAGCAGCUGUUGGUCAGGGAGGCUGAGAGAUCGGUGGCGGCGGCUGCGGUGAGAGGAGAAAGCUCCCUCCUGUCCGGCGUGUGGUUGAGAGCUUGCAGUAAGGGAGAGAGUGUCCGGCCGGCCAAUCGGUUGAGGUAGAAAAAAAAUGGGAGAUGGAGGCCUUGCGGCUGCUGGAAAUACCGAUUGAAGAAGAAAAAGCAAAGCUGAGGGAGGCAGCGUUUUCUUCAAAAGAAAGGGGAAGCUGGCCGGUUCUUUUUUAUUAUUAUUCUUGUGGGUGAGGGUGAGUUGAAGAUGAGAGUGUGCUGGUUUCCCUUUGGAUCUGGGGUGAACGGCUGGACAAAAAAAAAAUAAAUUCAGGGUGGGGGGCGGCUGGUAGCCUCUUCGUGAGGGAGAGUUGGCUUUUUGCAGGUGAGGGACUCCGUGGGUCUCUGCCCC
Molecule: long non-coding RNA, 919 nt
Filed under: Populus tremula
Lineage: Eukaryota; Viridiplantae; Streptophyta; Magnoliopsida; Malpighiales; Salicaceae
Description: long non-coding RNA (PTRE_LNC000133)
Source: RNAcentral